RNAcentral lists this transfer RNA (71 nucleotides) under Rhodella violacea. It matches the Rfam family "tRNA". Rfam says of the family: Transfer RNA (tRNA) molecules are approximately 80 nucleotides in length. Their secondary structure includes four short double-helical elements and three loops (D, anti-codon, and T loops). Lineage: Eukaryota; Rhodophyta; Rhodellophyceae; Rhodellales; Rhodellaceae. The record is from RNAcentral.
GGGAUGUAGCUCAAUUGGUAGAGUGCCCGCUUAGCAUGCGGGAGGCACCGGGAUCGAAGCCCGGCAUCUCC